GACGAACGCUGACGGUGUGCUUUAGACAUGCAAGUCGAGCGAGAAAGCCCUUCGGGGUUAGUAAAGCGGCGAACGGGUGAGUAACACGUGGGCAAUCUGCCCCUCGCAGGGGGACAACCGGGGAAACGUCCGGCUAAUACCCCGUAACGUUUCCAAAGUCGCAUGGCAUUGGAAAGAAAGGCAGCUUCGGCCAUCCGGCGAGGGAUGAGCCCGCGGUACAUUAGCUAGUUGGUGGGGUAACGGCCUACCAAGGCGGCGAUGUAUAGCUGGUCUGAGAGGAUGAUCAGCCACACUGGGAC
RNAcentral lists this ribosomal RNA (299 nucleotides) under uncultured bacterium. Its description in RNAcentral is "partial 16S ribosomal RNA". It matches the Rfam family "Bacterial small subunit ribosomal RNA", at positions 28 to 319 of the family's 1533-position model. The record is from RNAcentral.